AACGAACGCUGGCGGCAUGCCUAACACAUGCAAGUCGAACGAGACCUUCGGGUCUAGUGGCGCACGGGUGCGUAACGCGUGGGAACCUGCCCUUAGGUUCGGAAUAACUCCCCGAAAGGGGUGCUAAUACCGGAUAAUGUCUGCUGACCAAAGAUUUAUCGCCUUUGGAUGGGCCCGCGUUGGAUUAGCUAGUUGGUAGGGUAAAAGCCUACCAAGGCGACGAUCCAUAGCUGGUCUGAGAGGAUGAGCAGCCACACUGGGACUGAGACACGGCCCAGACUCCUACAGGAGGCAGCAGUGGGGAAUAUUGGAAAAUGGGCGAAAGCCUGAUCCAGCAAUGCCGCGUGAGUGAUGAAGGCCUUAGGGUUGUAAAGCUCUUUUACCCGGGAUGAUAAUGACAGUACCGGGAGAAUAAGCUCCGGCUAACUCCGUG
RNAcentral lists this ribosomal RNA (433 nucleotides) under uncultured bacterium. RNAcentral describes it as "partial 16S ribosomal RNA". It matches the Rfam family "Bacterial small subunit ribosomal RNA", at positions 29 to 507 of the family's 1533-position model. The record is from RNAcentral.